GAUGAAGAACGUAGCGAAAUGCGAUACUCGGUGUGAAUUGCAGAAUCCCGUGAACCAUCGAGUCUUUGAACGCAAGUUGCGCCCGAAGCCAUUUGGUUGAGGGCACGUCUGCCUGGGCGUCACAUAUCGUUGCCCGAUGCCUAUUGCACUGUGAUAGGAAAUUCUAGGGCGAAAGAUGGCUUCCCGUGAGCGUUGUUGCCUCGCGGUUGGUUGAAAAUUGAGUCCUUGGUAGGGUGUGCCAUGAUAGAUGGUGGUCGAGUUUGCACGAGACCGAUCAUGUGUGCGCUCCCCAAAAUAUGGACUCUUUGACCCCACACGCGUCUUUUGACGCUCAUGACGAGACCUCAGGUCAGGCGGGGCUACCCGCUGAGUUUAAGCAUAUCAAUAAGCGGAGGA
Molecule: unclassified non-coding RNA, 396 nt
Filed under: soil metagenome
Description: partial contains 5.8S ribosomal RNA, internal transcribed spacer 2, and large subunit ribosomal RNA
Rfam family: 5.8S ribosomal RNA (bases 1-122)
Source: RNAcentral